RNAcentral lists this long non-coding RNA (1210 nucleotides) under Sus scrofa (pig). RNAcentral's name for it is "lncRNA (ENSSSCG00065006828.1)". Lineage: Eukaryota; Metazoa; Chordata; Mammalia; Artiodactyla; Suidae. The record is from RNAcentral.
UAGUUGGAUUCGUUAACCACUGGGCCACGACGGGAACUCCUGAAUUUAUUUUAAUGAUUGGGAUACAUACACACACAAACACACACACACGUACACACAUAUAUGUAUAUAUGUUUGUGUAUAGAUAUUUUAAAUUAUUAUAUUAAGUAUUCAUCUAUAUAUUACAUAUAAAAAAUUAUUUUUCUAUCUGUAUAAGCUGUGAAGAAUGAACAUAGGGAGUUUCAAAUUAAGACGAGAAGUCCUAGAAAUUUGACAACUCUGUUGUAUGGGAAGGAAUGAUAAGUUCUUACACAGUUAACAAGUAGCAAAAUCAUACAGCCUGUCUGUGAAUAAUUAAUUAGGGAAAUUUUUCAAAAAAGACAGCUAACUACAUAGACUCAAUCUCUCACUUUCUAGGAGAUGAAACAUCUAGAUGGCCCUGCUAACUACAGUAUUAUGUUAAUAAGAGAUGCAUCAACUUUUAAAUAAUUCCAGCAAAUCAGUUAUUUUCAACCAACUGCAAACAAGAGAGAUGAGUCAUCAUCUGGAGCACAUGGAUUAUGGGAGGAUUCCAAAUACCCUUCCCCAGUGCAUAUUCAAAACAUCCCAAGGUGUUAGACACCCUCUCAAAGGUGGGACAGAAUAAUAAUGAUGGCUUCAGUACAAUGUUAUAUAUGCUACGAGAGUGGCACAUAUACAGACGACUCUGGAGCUAAGAACAAGGACAUCUACACGCUAAGUUUCAGGUAUUGUACUGAGUCUUGAGGAUGAGUUGCAUUUAUCCAUUCCACAUAUAUUUAUUGAGUAACUUUUAUGGAGCUAGCCUACCCUCUGGAUAGACUAUGGGGAAACAGGAUAGACAUGAACACUGCCAUCAUGAACUCACAGACCAUGAAGGGGGGGACACACCUAAAACAACCUCCAAGAAAAAAAAUCUGUGAUAAGAGAGGAAAAUUCAAUAAGCUGUGAGAGCAAGGCAGAUGAACCAACAUUUUGACAGAUUGCUCAGGGAAAACCUCUCUUAGAGAAAAUGGUAUUUGAGAUGAUACCUUAAGUAGAGUAGAAUUUAGGUAAGCAAAGACAGGGAGAAGAGCAUACCAAAGAGCAAAAGCAUGAUUCAUUUUAUUUUAUUCAAAGAUUUUUGUUCUAAAGAUAGUCAAAAAAUCCAAAGCAAACAAAUGAACAAAAAAGAAUUUUAAAUCAUUACCUUCAGUGAACAUUAUGUUAGUAA